RNAcentral lists this ribosomal RNA (502 nucleotides) under uncultured bacterium. RNAcentral's name for it is "partial 16S ribosomal RNA". It matches the Rfam family "Bacterial small subunit ribosomal RNA", at positions 30 to 523 of the family's 1533-position model. The record is from RNAcentral.
AUUGAACGCUGGCGGCAGGCUUAACACAUGCAAGUCGAGCGGGGUGAUGGUGCUUGCACUAUCACUUAGCGGCGGACGGGUGAGUAAUGCUUAGGAAUCUGCCUAUUAGUGGGGGACAACAUCUCGAAAGGGAUGCUAAUACCGCAUACGUCCUACGGGAGAAAGCAGGGGAUCACUUGUGACCUUGCGCUAAUAGAUGAGCCUAAGUCGGAUUAGCUGGUUGGUGGGGUAAAGGCCUACCAAGGCGACGAUUUAUAGCUGUUCUGAGAGGAAGAACAGCCACACUGGGACUGAGACACGGCCCAGACUCCUACGGGAGGCAGAAGUGGGGAAUAUUGGACAAUGGGGGCAACCCUGAUCCAGCAAUACCGCGUGUGUGAAGAAGGCCUGAGGGUUGUAAAGCACUUUCGGCGAGGAGGAAGGGUAUAUGGUUAAUACCCAUAUAUUUUGACGUUACUCGAAGAAGAAGCACCGGCUAACUCUGUGCCAGCCGCCGCCGUAA